UAKGGUUCCUUAGAUCGUACCCACAAUUACUUGGAUAACUGUGGUAAUUCUAGAGCUAAUACAUGAAAACAGAGCUCCGACCGGAGACGGAAGGAGUGCUUUUAUUAGAUCAAAACCAAUCGGUGGCGGGUUGGUGACUCUGAAUAACUUUACGCUGAUCGCACGGUCAUCGCACCG
This 177-nucleotide ribosomal RNA is filed under the name Poropteroides sp. ARC3485. Its description in RNAcentral is "partial 18S ribosomal RNA". The stretch from base 23 to 177 matches the Rfam family "Eukaryotic small subunit ribosomal RNA", at positions 132 to 288 of the family's 1831-position model. Lineage: Eukaryota; Metazoa; Arthropoda; Insecta; Coleoptera; Curculionidae. The record is from RNAcentral.